Hippoglossus stenolepis (Pacific halibut) is the source of this 616-nucleotide long non-coding RNA. RefSeq lists it as uncharacterized. The transcript has 2 exons. Lineage: Eukaryota; Metazoa; Chordata; Actinopteri; Pleuronectiformes; Pleuronectidae. The record is from RefSeq and is a predicted model, not a curated record.
UCGGUUGUCUGUGUGUCGGUUGUCUGUUUUUCACACGCGCUGUGUGUCCGCUACUGGCGUCUGAGCUGCUGGUUUGUCUCCUGCAUUUCCUUCAAUACAAGUCGGAUUAUGUACGAGACUAGAUGUCAGGACUGUACGUCAAGUCCCUCACUCGCUCCUCAGAGAGUGAGUCCUCUCUGUUCUUGUGGGCCAAAGGCAGAGGGACGGGUUUCGACACCUGUCCCACUCAACUUUAAAGUCACAAGACUGAAGUUGCUCUGUGGAUGGAGAGAACAUCAUCCAGCAGCUGGACCGACUCCUGCCAGCUGGGAAAUGUCGCUGCCCUGGCCCGCAAGCACAGACAUUUACCAUCAUCACCCAAAAACAUUUCCUAGCACUCUCAGAAAGUUGGGUUUCCUCACACGCUGCGUCACAUGACACGAACACAUGCACAAGCUCUUGUAGAAAUGUUGGUGGAACAUAAAAAAAAAAAAAAAAAUAUCUGGGGAAUUGAGGCAGUUACAUGCAGAAGUGAUGUCAAAUGGAGCUGCUGAAGCCCAGCUUCAUAAUUCUAAUUUAAGGCUUCAGGAUUUUAUACAGGUUGCAUAGAUGUUUAAUAAAAUCCUCCAAAAUCAGA